GGGGGUAUGGCUCAGUGGUAGAGUGCAUGCCUAGCAUGCACAAGGCCCAGGGUUCAAUCCCCAGUGUCACAG
RNAcentral lists this transfer RNA (72 nucleotides) under Ictidomys tridecemlineatus (thirteen-lined ground squirrel). RNAcentral describes it as "Spermophilus tridecemlineatus (thirteen-lined ground squirrel) tRNA". It matches the Rfam family "tRNA". From Rfam's summary of the family: Transfer RNA (tRNA) molecules are approximately 80 nucleotides in length. Their secondary structure includes four short double-helical elements and three loops (D, anti-codon, and T loops). The record is from Rfam by way of RNAcentral. Lineage: Eukaryota; Metazoa; Chordata; Mammalia; Rodentia; Sciuridae.